GGUGAAAUAUUUUAUAGCCUGUAGAUGUGCUCGCGUCUGAUUAGCUAGUUGGUGGGGUAAAGGCCUACCAAGGCGACGAUCAGUAGCUGGUCUGAGAGGAUGAUCAGCCACACUGGGACUGAGACACGGCCCAGACUCCUACGGGAGGCAGCAGUGGGGAAUUUUCCGCAAUGGGCGCAAGCCUGACGGAGCAAUACCGCGUGAGGGAGGAAGGCUCUUGGGUCGUAAACCUCUUUUCUCUGGGAAGAAUAACUGACGGUACCAGAGGAAUCAGCAUCGGCUAACUCCGUGCCAGCAGCCGCGGUAAUACGGGGGAUGCAAGCGUUAUCCGGAAUUAUUGGGCGUAAAGCGUCCGCAGGUGGCUAAUCAAGUCUGUUGUCAAAGCGCGGAGCUCAACUCCGUACAGGCGAUGGAAACUGGUUGGCUAGAGUUAGGUAGGGGUAAGAGGAAUUCCCAGUGUAGCGGUGAAAUGCGUAGAUAUUGGGAAGAACACCGGCGG
RNAcentral lists this ribosomal RNA (499 nucleotides) under Leptolyngbya sp. 0ES36S5. RNAcentral describes it as "bacterial SSU rRNA". It matches the Rfam family "Bacterial small subunit ribosomal RNA", at positions 199 to 715 of the family's 1533-position model. The record is from RNAcentral. Lineage: Bacteria; Bacillati; Cyanobacteriota; Cyanophyceae; Leptolyngbyales; Leptolyngbyaceae.